Molecule: ribosomal RNA, 75 nt
Filed under: Escherichia coli
Lineage: Bacteria; Pseudomonadati; Pseudomonadota; Gammaproteobacteria; Enterobacterales; Enterobacteriaceae
Also listed under: 15 other names
Description: partial 23S ribosomal RNA
Source: RNAcentral
GGGUGUGUAAGCGCAGCGAUGCGUUGAGCUAACCGGUACUAAUGAACCGUGAGGCUUAACCUUACAACGCCGAAG